GACAGAGGGUGCAAACGUUGUUCGGAAUUACUGGGCGUAAAGCGCGUGUAGGCGGCUGCGCAAGUCGGAUGUGAAAUCCCGUGGCUCAACCACGGAAGUGCACCCGAAACUGCGCAGCUGGAGUCUCGGAGAGGAAGGUGGAAUGCUUGGUGUAGAGGUGAAAUUCGUAGAUAUCAAGCGGAACACCGGUGGCGAAGGCGGCCUUCUGGACGAUGACUGACGCUGAGACGCGAAAGCGUGGGGAGCAAACAGG
RNAcentral lists this ribosomal RNA (253 nucleotides) under uncultured bacterium. RNAcentral describes it as "partial 16S ribosomal RNA". It matches the Rfam family "Bacterial small subunit ribosomal RNA", at positions 524 to 776 of the family's 1533-position model. The record is from RNAcentral.